RNAcentral lists this transfer RNA (39 nucleotides) under Androsace halleri. Its description in RNAcentral is "partial tRNA-Ser". The record is from RNAcentral. RNAcentral also lists the same sequence under 4 other names. Lineage: Eukaryota; Viridiplantae; Streptophyta; Magnoliopsida; Ericales; Primulaceae.
UUUUCAGACCGGGGCUAUCAACCACUCAGCCAUCUCUCC